Piliocolobus tephrosceles (Ugandan red Colobus) is the source of this 478-nucleotide long non-coding RNA. RefSeq lists it as uncharacterized. Lineage: Eukaryota; Metazoa; Chordata; Mammalia; Primates; Cercopithecidae. The transcript is spliced from 3 exons. The record is from RefSeq and is a predicted model, not a curated record.
GUGACACUGUCGCGGUGGGGGGGCGCGGGAGCGCUCUACUAAGCCAUAGGACACAAGGCCGGCUUGGCAACUUAAUGCCCGCCAACGCCAGAGAUGGGCCUGAGACUUUAGGCCGCCUUGCAAAGUAGAGGACACACGGAAGUUCACAGGGGACCCUGCAGUGUGGAGAGGCAUGAAACUGGAGGUCCAAUGCCGUGAGGUAACCAAGAUGCCCAUACAGAAGAUGCAUUGGUGGAUGGGUGAAGAGAUGGUGAAACGGAUAAUUCAGUGGUGAUCUUGAGAAGAAUUCCACACACAAAAAAAACAACAACAACAGAUUAACAGAUGAAACAAUCUCAUAAGCCACUUCACACUGAAUUUCUCUAGAACAAGAAUCUAUAAAAUUUUUUGAUCAAACACCCACUGGAAAAAUUUUUGAACAUGGACACCCAGUAUUUGAAGUUCUUGGUAAAUUACUGUGAGUAAAGAUUUAACCAAC